This 309-nucleotide ribosomal RNA is filed under the name Triticum aestivum (bread wheat). Its description in RNAcentral is "partial small subunit ribosomal RNA". Lineage: Eukaryota; Viridiplantae; Streptophyta; Magnoliopsida; Poales; Poaceae. The record is from RNAcentral.
AUGAAAAGAAAACAUGAACAAACUUGGGGGGAAAACUCAGCGAGCUCAAGCAUGGAUGGCGUGGACGGCUGGUGGAUGGUGGAGGGUGGAGAGUCGGUGACACUUCUCAUCGGGGAAGAUCUGGCAUCGCUUGUGGUGGAGAAACGAUGGCGUCUUGGACGGAGCCCGACAGUGUCUCUUGGCGGGGCGGUGUGGGAAAAUAGAGGGAGAGUAGAGACAGGGAGGAGGAAAGAACAGGGUCUAUGGGUUCGUCAAGGGUGUGGAAGGACAAGUGUGUAUGCCAGGGACUUGUGCCUCAAAUUAGAAUAG